Non-coding RNA from Oenanthe melanoleuca, 458 nucleotides. Lineage: Eukaryota; Metazoa; Chordata; Aves; Passeriformes; Muscicapidae. The record is from the annotation of a RefSeq genome assembly.
CUCAUUGGAUAGUUUUCUGCCACUCAGAUCUGCUUCAACCCCUCCUGAGGUUGACCCUGACCCUGUGCCCUGUGUAGAAAGCCCUAAGAAGAGCAAUGAUGUGGCUGCUGAGCAUUUUCUUCCUGGCAACUCUUUUUUCUUGUGGCUCUGCACAAGGCUUGCAGCAAACCCCUAUAUCCGUCACCAAGCCAGAAGGUGAAAACGUGGAAAUCAACUGCCAUGUCUCCAGUCCUGAUUUUAUCAACUCUUUUAUUCACUGGUACCAAAAGAAGGGCAAUGCACCUCCCAAACGUGUUGCCUAUAUAUCCUCCACGUUUUUCCUUGAAAACAUGUCUGAUGAGGGGAAGUUUAGUGUUGCCAAGGAUCCCAGCAAGUCUGUCUGCAUCCUGACAGUGAGCAAAGUAACGCCACAAGACUCUGCCACCUACUACUGUGCCAUUUGGGAUGCACAGCAGUAG